UCCUACUUAUCAUAGGCAGUUUCCUUAGAGUUCCCAGCAUUACCUGUUGGCAACUAAGGACGAGGGUUGCGCUCGUUGCGGGACUUAACCCAACAUCUCACGACACGAGCUGACGACAGCCAUGCAGCACCUGUGUGUUAGCCAGCCGAACUGAAGAAAUCCAUCUCUGGAAAUCAAACUAACCAUGUCAAGGCCUGGUAAGGUUCUUCGCGUUGCCUCGAAUUAAACCACAUGCUCCACCGCUUGUGCGGGUCCCCGUCAAUUUCUUUGAGUUUUAAUCUUGCGACCGUACUCCCCAGGCGGAUUGCUUAAUGCGUUAGCGACGUCACUGAGGGGGAACCCCCCAACAACUAGCAAUCAUCGUUUACAGCGUGGACUAC
Molecule: unclassified non-coding RNA, 380 nt
Filed under: uncultured Rickettsiales bacterium
Lineage: Bacteria; Pseudomonadati; Pseudomonadota; Alphaproteobacteria; Rickettsiales
Description: contains 16S-23S intergenic spacer region
Source: RNAcentral